AGUGAACGCUGGCGGUAGGCCUAACACAUGCAAGUCGAACGGCAACACAGUAAGAGCUUGCUCUUACGGUUGGCGAGUGGCGGACGGGUGAGGAAUACAUCGGAAUCUACUUUUUCGUGGGGGAUAACGUAGGGAAACUUACGCUAAUACCGCAUACGACCUACGGGUGAAAGCAGGGGAUCUUCGGACCUUGCGCGAUUGAAUGAGCCGAUGUCGGAUUAGCUAGUUGGCGAGGUAAAGGCCCACCAAGGCGACGAUCCGUAGCUGAUCUGAGAGGAUGAUCAGCCACACUGGAACUGAGACACGGUCCAGACUCCUACGGGAGGCAGCAGUGGGGAAUAUUGGGCAAUGGGCGCAAGCCUGAUCCAGCAAUACCGCGUGAGUGAAGAAGGCCUUCGGGUUGUAAAGCCCUUUUGUUGGGAAAGAAAAGCAGCAGGUUAAUACCCCGCUGUUCUGACGGUACCCAAAGAAUAAGCACCGGCUAACUUCGUG
Molecule: ribosomal RNA, 492 nt
Filed under: uncultured bacterium
Lineage: Bacteria
Description: partial 16S ribosomal RNA
Rfam family: Bacterial small subunit ribosomal RNA
Source: RNAcentral